RNAcentral lists this ribosomal RNA (113 nucleotides) under Intestinimonas massiliensis (ex Afouda et al. 2020). The record is from RNAcentral. Lineage: Bacteria; Bacillati; Bacillota; Clostridia; Eubacteriales.
UUGGUGUUGAUUGCGGUGAGGGUCCACCCGUUCCCAUUCCGAACACGGCAGUUAAGCUCAUCUGCGCCGAAAAUACUUGGCUGGCGACGGCCCGGGAAGAUAGGUAACGCCAA